This 301-nucleotide ribosomal RNA is filed under the name uncultured bacterium. Its description in RNAcentral is "partial 16S ribosomal RNA". It matches the Rfam family "Bacterial small subunit ribosomal RNA", at positions 509 to 807 of the family's 1533-position model. The record is from RNAcentral.
CAGCAGCCGCGGGAAUACGAAGGGUGCAAGCGUUAAUUGGAAUUACUGGGCGUAAAGCGUGCGUAGGCGGUUUGUUAAGUCUGUUGUGAAAUCCCCGGGCUCAACCUGGGAAUGGCAAUGGAUACUGGCAAGCUAGAGUGUGUCAGAGGAUGGUGGAAUUCCCGGUGUAGCGGUGAAAUGCGUAGAGAUCGGGAGGAACAUCAGUGGCGAAGGCGGCCAUCUGGGACAACACUGACGCUGAGGCACGAAAGCGUGGGGAGCAAACAGGAUUAGAUACCCCUGUAGUCCCUGUCUCUUAUAC